GGGGGUGUAGCUCAGUGGUAGAGCGUGUGCUUCGCAUGCACAAGGCCCUGGGUUCAAUACCCAGCACCUCCA
This is a non-coding RNA of Chinchilla lanigera (long-tailed chinchilla), 72 nucleotides long. The record is from the annotation of a RefSeq genome assembly. NCBI's taxonomy places the organism in Eukaryota, Metazoa, Chordata, Mammalia, Rodentia, Chinchillidae.